Molecule: ribosomal RNA, 459 nt
Filed under: uncultured bacterium
Lineage: Bacteria
Description: partial 16S ribosomal RNA
Rfam family: Bacterial small subunit ribosomal RNA
Source: RNAcentral
CCUACGGGUGGCAGCAGUGAGGAAUAUUGGUCAAUGGGCGCGCGCCUGAACCAGCCCAGUCGCGUGAGGGAAGACGGUCCUAUGGAUUGUAAACCUCUUUUGUCGGGGAGCAAAAGACGCCACGCGUGGCGUUCCGAGAGUACCCGAAGAAAAAGCAUCGGCUAACUCCGUUCCCUCAGCCGCGGUCAUACGGAGGAUGCGAGCGUUAUCCGGAUUUAUUGGGUUUAAAGGGUGCGAAGGCGGAAGAUCAAGUCAGCGGUAAAAUUGAGAGGCUCAACCUCUUCGAGCCGUUGAAACUGGUUGUCUUGAGUGAGCGAGAAGUAUGCGGAAGGCGUGGUGGAGCGGUGAAAUGCAUAGAUAUCACGCAGAACUCCGAUUGCGAAGGCAGCAUACCGGCGCUCAACUGACGCUCAUGCACGAAAGUGUGGGUAUCGAACAGGAUUAGAUACCCCGGUAGUC